AUGAGGUAUUUAUCUAAUUUUGCAGGAGAUUUAUCUUCAACUUUUCCUGCUGAUAGAUUUUUAUUUAAUACAGUGAUACCAUGGGACUUUUGCGUGUAUCCUGCAUUUUCUGACAUCACGUUUCUCAUGCAGAAAAAUGUGCUUUCAGCCAAGUAUGUUAUGAAAAUCGACAAUGACGCUUUUGUUCGUGUAGAUGAGAUGCUUUCGUCCCUACAUGAAGUAAAUAUCAGCCAUGUACUGCCGUAUGCUCGUGUCAAUUUUGAUUCUCAGCCUCAUCAAGAUCCGUAUCUCUAUUCCUAA
Molecule: ribosomal RNA, 300 nt
Filed under: Triticum aestivum (bread wheat)
Lineage: Eukaryota; Viridiplantae; Streptophyta; Magnoliopsida; Poales; Poaceae
Description: partial small subunit ribosomal RNA
Source: RNAcentral